AGAGUGGGCUGGGUGAUCGCUGGUGGAUGGUAUUUAAUACUGCACCACUGGAGGAAAGUCCGGGCUCCAUAAAGCAAGAUGCCGGGUAACUCCCGGCGAGGGCAACCUUAGGGAAAGUGCCACAGAAAGCAGACCGCCGGACCAGUUUUUUAAAAAACUUCCGGUAAGGGUGAAAGGGUGCGGUAAGAGCGCACCGCGUUUUUUUUCCGGUAACGGAAACGGCAGGGUAAACCCCAUCUGGAGCAAGACCAAAUAGGGGAACGUUCACGACGGCUCGUCCAGUUCCCGGGUAGGUCGCAUGAGAUCCUUGGCAACAAGUAUCCAAGAUGAAUGGUCACCACCCAGCUAGCAAUAGCUGAGACACAGAACCCGGCUUACAAGCCCACUCUUUUU
Molecule: RNase P RNA, 393 nt
Filed under: Magnetococcales bacterium
Lineage: Bacteria; Pseudomonadati; Pseudomonadota; Magnetococcia; Magnetococcales
Description: RNase P RNA component class A
Rfam family: Bacterial RNase P class A
About the family: Ribonuclease P (RNase P) is a ubiquitous endoribonuclease, found in archaea, bacteria and eukarya as well as chloroplasts and mitochondria.
Source: RNAcentral